This 450-nucleotide long non-coding RNA is filed under the name Lactuca sativa (garden lettuce). RNAcentral describes it as "long non-coding RNA (LSAT_LNC002853)". Lineage: Eukaryota; Viridiplantae; Streptophyta; Magnoliopsida; Asterales; Asteraceae. The record is from RNAcentral.
CGGAUACUUGGACUGAUAGAGUCGACGCAAAACUGUAGAGAGUUCUAAGUGUUUCCGAAUAGAGUAUCUUUUCAUGAACGGAUUCUCACGAGGCAUUUCUGUAAUCGGCUCACAUAUACUAGUCAUGUAUAUUUAAGGUGGGGAGGACUGUUGACUGAGCGACCUCGCCCUAAAUCCACAACCAAACGAGGAACAUGAAAUGAGGCGGCAUUCGCUCAGUCUAGGUAUGUCCAUCUCAAAUAUACAUGGCCGUAACGNAGGCAUUUCUAUAAUCGCCUCACAUAUACUAGUCAUGUAUAUUUAAGGUGGGGAGGACUGUUGACUGAGCGACCCCGCCCUAAAUCCACAACCAAACGAGGAACAGGAAAUGAGGCGGCAUUCGCUCACUCUAGGUCUGUCCAUCUUAAAUAUACAUGGCCGUAACGUAUAUGUUUAGCCAUUAUAGUUUUA